This 1390-nucleotide ribosomal RNA is filed under the name Staphylococcus aureus. RNAcentral's name for it is "partial 23S ribosomal RNA". It matches the Rfam family "Bacterial large subunit ribosomal RNA", at positions 1535 to 2925 of the family's 2925-position model. The record is from RNAcentral. Lineage: Bacteria; Bacillati; Bacillota; Bacilli; Caryophanales; Staphylococcaceae.
GGCAAAUCCGGUACUCGUUAAGGCUGAGCUGUGAUGGGGAGAAGACAUUGUGUCUUCGAGUCGUUGAUUUCACACUGCCGAGAAAAGCCUCUAGAUAGAAAAUAGGUGCCCGUACCGCAAACCGACACAGGUAGUCAAGAUGAGAAUUCUAAGGUGAGCGAGCGAACUCUCGUUAAGGAACUCGGCAAAAUGACCCCGUAACUUCGGGAGAAGGGGUGCUCUUUAGGGUUAACGCCCAGAAGAGCCGCAGUGAAUAGGCCCAAGCGACUGUUUAUCAAAAACACAGGUCUCUGCUAAACCGUAAGGUGAUGUAUAGGGGCUGACGCCUGCCCGGUGCUGGAAGGUUAAGAGGAGUGGUUAGCUUCUGCGAAGCUACGAAUCGAAGCCCCAGUAAACGGCGGCCGUAACUAUAACGGUCCUAAGGUAGCGAAAUUCCUUGUCGGGUAAGUUCCGACCCGCACGAAAGGCGUAACGAUUUGGGCACUGUCUCAACGAGAGACUCGGUGAAAUCAUAGUACCUGUGAAGAUGCAGGUUACCCGCGACAGGACGGAAAGACCCCGUGGAGCUUUACUGUAGCCUGAUAUUGAAAUUCGGCACAGCUUGUACAGGAUAGGUAGGAGCCUUUGAAACGUGAGCGCUAGCUUACGUGGAGGCGCUGGUGGGAUACUACCCUAGCUGUGUUGGCUUUCUAACCCGCACCACUUAUCGUGGUGGGAGACAGUGUCAGGCGGGCAGUUUGACUGGGGCGGUCGCCUCCUAAAAGGUAACGGAGGCGCUCAAAGGUUCCCUCAGAAUGGUUGGAAAUCAUUCAUAGAGUGUAAAGGCAUAAGGGAGCUUGACUGCGAGACCUACAAGUCGAGCAGGGUCGAAAGACGGACUUAGUGAUCCGGUGGUUCCGCAUGGAAGGGCCAUCGCUCAACGGAUAAAAGCUACCCCGGGGAUAACAGGCUUAUCUCCCCCAAGAGUUCACAUCGACGGGGAGGUUUGGCACCUCGAUGUCGGCUCAUCGCAUCCUGGGGCUGUAGUCGGUCCCAAGGGUUGGGCUGUUCGCCCAUUAAAGCGGUACGCGAGCUGGGUUCAGAACGUCGUGAGACAGUUCGGUCCCUAUCCGUCGUGGGCGUAGGAAAUUUGAGAGGAGCUGUCCUUAGUACGAGAGGACCGGGAUGGACAUACCUCUGGUGUACCAGUUGUCGUGCCAACGGCAUAGCUGGGUAGCUAUGUGUGGACGGGAUAAGUGCUGAAAGCAUCUAAGCAUGAAGCCCCCCUCAAGAUGAGAUUUCCCAACUUCGGUUAUAAGAUCCCUCAAAGAUGAUGAGGUUAAUAGGUUCGAGGUGGAAGCAUGGUGACAUGUGGAGCUGACGAAUACUAAUCGAUCGAAGACUUAAUCAA